RNAcentral lists this ribosomal RNA (468 nucleotides) under uncultured bacterium. RNAcentral's name for it is "partial 16S ribosomal RNA". It matches the Rfam family "Bacterial small subunit ribosomal RNA", at positions 28 to 507 of the family's 1533-position model. The record is from RNAcentral.
GACGAACGCUGGCGGCGUGCUUAACACAUGCAAGUCGAACGGAAAGGCCCUGCUUUUGUGGGGUGCUCGAGUAGCGAACGGGUGAGUAACACGUGAGUAACCUGCCCUUGACUUUGGGAUAACUUCAGGAAACUGGGGCUAAUACCGGAUAGGAGCUCCUGCUGCAUGGUGGGGGUUGGAAAGUUUCGGCGGUUGGGGAUGGACUCGCGGCUUAUCAGCUUGUUGGUGGGGUAGUGGCUUACCAAGGCUUUGACGGGUAGCCGGCCCGAGAGGGUGACCGGCCACAAUGGGACUGAGGUACGGCCCAGACUCCUACGGGAGGCAGCAGUGGGGAAUAUUGCACAAUGGGCGGAAGCCUGAUGCAGCAACGCCGCGUGCGGGAUGACGGCCUUCGGGUUGUAAACCGCUUUCGCCUGUGACGAAGCGUGAGUGACGGUAAUGGGUAAAGAAGCACCGGCUAACUACGUG